AGCCCCCACCACCCCCCCGUCACCCUCCAUACCCGCAGUCCCUCCUCCUAAUGGCCCCCGGAAGACACGGCGUCAAGCCACCCCACACUGCCCUUCUCCCUUACCCCUUCUCCUGCCCCAACGUCGCCGUCGUCGUCGUCGCCAACUAGAAGCCGGAUCUAUCGGUGAUGGCAACUCUACUAGUCCUCAAUCAUCCCAGACCCAGUUUAGUUCGAACCCAACGCCCCUUCCUUCCUGCUAUCGGGUCUCCCACCGUCCAUCGCGAGCUUCCGCACACAGAGGAAGAGCCUGAGAGAGAGAG
This 301-nucleotide long non-coding RNA is filed under the name Spirodela polyrhiza (greater duckweed). RNAcentral describes it as "long non-coding RNA (SPOL_LNC001914)". Lineage: Eukaryota; Viridiplantae; Streptophyta; Magnoliopsida; Alismatales; Araceae. The record is from RNAcentral.